RNAcentral lists this ribosomal RNA (281 nucleotides) under uncultured prokaryote. RNAcentral's name for it is "partial 16S ribosomal RNA". It matches the Rfam family "Bacterial small subunit ribosomal RNA", at positions 524 to 803 of the family's 1533-position model. The record is from RNAcentral.
GACGUAGGGGCGAGCGUUGUCCGGAAUUACUGGGCGUAAAGAGCACGUAGGCGGGAACUUAAGUCAGGUGUGAAAGACCGUGGCUCAACCACGGGUAUGCAUUUGAAACUGGGUUCCUUGAGGGCAGGAGAGGAAAGCAGAAUUCCUGGUGUAGCGGUGAAAUGCGUAGAAAUCAGGAGGAAUACCAGUGGCGAAGGCGGCUUUCUGGACUGACCCUGACGCUGAGGUGCGAAAGCGUGGGUAGCAAACAGGAUUAGAUACCCCGGUAGUCCCUGAGCGGG